This 484-nucleotide ribosomal RNA is filed under the name uncultured bacterium. RNAcentral's name for it is "partial 16S ribosomal RNA". It matches the Rfam family "Bacterial small subunit ribosomal RNA", at positions 29 to 507 of the family's 1533-position model. The record is from RNAcentral.
AUUGAACGCUGGCGGCAUGCUUUACACAUGCAAGUCGAACGGCAGCGCGGGCUUCGGCCUGGCGGCGAGUGGCGAACGGGUGAGUAAUACAUCGGAACGUGCCCAGUAGUGGGGGAUAGCUCGGCGAACGCCGGAUUAAUACCGCAUACGACCUGCGGGUGAAAGCGGGGGAUCUUCGGACCUCGCGCUAUUGGAGCGGCCGAUGGCCGAUUAGCUAGUUGGUGGGGUAAAGGCCUACCAAGGCGACGAUCCGUAGCUGGUCUGAGAGGACGACCAGCCACACUGGGACUGAGACACGGCCCAGACUCCUACGGGAGGCAGCAGUGGGGAAUUUUGGACAAUGGGCGAAAGCCUGAUCCAGCAAUGCCGCGUGUGUGAUGAAGGCCUUCGGGUUGUAAAGCACUUUUGGCGGGAACGAAAAGGACUGUGCCAAUACCACGGCUCGAUGACGGUACCCGCAGAAUAAGCACCGGCUAACUACGUG